This 2110-nucleotide long non-coding RNA is filed under the name Canis lupus familiaris (dog). RNAcentral's name for it is "lncRNA (ENSCAFG00000050117.1)". The record is from RNAcentral. Lineage: Eukaryota; Metazoa; Chordata; Mammalia; Carnivora; Canidae.
GGGCUCCCUGCUCCACAGGAAGCCUGCUUCUCCCUUUCCCUGCUCUUGGGCUCUCACUUGCUCGUUCUCUCUCUCUCUCUCUCUCUCUCUCUCUCUGUAGUAAAUAAAUAAAAUCAAAGAAGAAGAAAAGAAGAAGAAGAAGGAGGGAGGAGGAGGAGGAGGAGGGUAAGAAGAAGAAGAAAACCGAGCAGCCAUAAAGAGCCCAGAGGUCCCCGGGACCUAGGGAGUCUGGGUGUCCCCAGGGCUCCCCUUCUCCCAGGCGCUGCUCUAGGGCCUGCCCUCAGCACAGGAUCACGCCAAAUCCUUAGCCAGAGCCAGCCAGAGCCAGCCCAGUGGUGCUGUUCUCAUUUCCAUUUUGCAGAGAACACUCAGCACAGAGAGGUUAAGAAACUUGCCCAAGAACACACAGCCGGUAAGGAGAGAAGAGAAUGCAAGGGAGAGCAGGAGUGGCAGCUGAGAGACCUGUGAGGUCUGGGUACCAUGGGCCACACUUUCCACACCUUCUGGAAGGAUCUUCACCUCCUGAUGAAUCAUCGUGGGGCUUCUCCCUGUCUGCUAUUUCUGAGUGUUUGUGAACAACACCAUUUCUCAACAGGGCCGAGACCAGGGUGAGGAGAGCAGGCUCCUGCUCCUCCCCCGCGCCCCCCCCCCCCCCCCCCGUGCCAAAUUUAAGUGUGGGGUGGGGGAAGCCAAACUCAGUUAUCGAGAUAAAUAAUAUUUGGAUGUAAUCAUUUCAAAAAACGAAAUUAUGGGGGCACCUGGGUGACUCAGCAGUUGAGCGGCUGCCUUUGGCUCAGGUUGUGACCCCUGGGUCCUGGGAUCGAGUCCCACAUUGGGCUCCCUGCAGGGGGCCUGCUUCUCCCUCUGCCUGUGUCUCUGCCUCUCUCCCUGUGUCUCUCAUGAAUAAAUAAAAUCUUUUAAAAAAAUCAAAAUUAAUGCAAAGUAACUCACAAUGAGGAAAAUGUCAAAAAAAUUUAAAGAUUCGAUUAAAAUAUUAUUUAUUUUGAUGACUGAGGUUUUUCUGGCACCCCCUUAAAUUCUGUUUAGUGAGUACCUCGCUCACCUCCUUCUAAGUCUGUGUCCCAAGGGUCAAGUUGGGGUCUCUAACUGGUGUCGGCCUGGCACUGACUUUAAUUGCUGAGAGCCACUGCAAGGAGGUUGGUCAGGUGGUAACUGGUCUGGGGGCCCAUUUACCUCUUUCAGAAAGUCAUGCAAAGAGAUAGGCAGGGGGCCAAGCCUAUUGUUCCAAAGCUUCCACAGACCUUGACCAGCCCUUGGGCUCUAUGGUCUGCUGAUCAGAGGUGCAAAGGUUUUUGAACAAUCCAAGGCCUUUGAUAUGGUUGCCAACACCCACAUUUUCCAUUCUGGGAACAAUGCCACGGAGGGCUGCAGCCACCCGCCCCCACCCAAGUGAGGAAGUGUCUGCAGGUUACCAGUGGGGACAGGCCCUGUGAGGGCAAGGGUCAGAAGAAGUGUGCUUGUCUUCUUUCUUUUGUCCUCUCUGGCCAAAGCAAUUUUUUUUUUUUCAGAGAAUGAAAAAAAAGGGGGCACCCGCGUGGCUCAGUGGUUGAGCAUCGGCCUUUGGCUCAGGUCGAGACCCUGGGGUCCCCGAGGGAGCCCCACAGCCGGCUCUCCGCGGGGAGCCCGCUGCUCCCUCAGCCUGUCUCGGCCUGUCUCUGCGUGUUUCUCAUUAAUAAGUGAAUAAAAUCUUUAAAACAUGCAAAAAAGAGUGAGCCACCCCGUUAUAGGGGCAGGGAGACACGGGCCCCAAGUUGCCCUGAUGGCCUCUGGAGCUCUCUCCUGAAACCCGGGGCAUCAAAGUCCCCGACUAGCCCUUCGGGGAUCCGCCGUCUGGGGACACCGCAGCAGGUUAGCUCCGGGCCGAGCUGACCGCUGUCUUGGAGGAAUGCGGGGAACACGAGGUGGUUUCCAGUAGGCAAAGUGUUUUUUCCACUUCCUGUUCUUUGCGAACUCGUCCAGUUCCGGCGAGAAGCCGCAGUGUCGGAAUCAGGUGCGGCUCCGGCCCCGGAGCCGGGGUGGGGGAGGGGCGGGGGUGGGGGAGGGGCGGGGGCUGCUCGGGGCUCCCCCCGCGCUCACCCACCGACAGGCC